This 27-nucleotide unclassified non-coding RNA is filed under the name Mus musculus (house mouse). RNAcentral's name for it is "oocyte_clustered_small_RNA7859". The record is from RNAcentral. Lineage: Eukaryota; Metazoa; Chordata; Mammalia; Rodentia; Muridae.
UGCUUGAGUCCCAAGUCAGAGCCCUCC